UGGAGAUCCCUGGGCCUGCAAGUGCCACGCC
RNAcentral lists this non-coding RNA (31 nucleotides) under Mus musculus (house mouse). Lineage: Eukaryota; Metazoa; Chordata; Mammalia; Rodentia; Muridae. The record is from RNAcentral.